RNAcentral lists this ribosomal RNA (301 nucleotides) under uncultured bacterium. Its description in RNAcentral is "partial 16S ribosomal RNA". It matches the Rfam family "Bacterial small subunit ribosomal RNA", at positions 509 to 807 of the family's 1533-position model. The record is from RNAcentral.
CAGUAGCCGCGGUAAUACGUAGGUGGCAAGCGUUGUCCGGAAUUAUUGGGCGUAAAGGGCCCGCAGGCGGUUUCUUAAGUCUGAUGUGAAAGCCCCCGGCUCAACCGGGGAGGGUCAUUGGAAACUGGGAAACUUGAGUGCAGAAGAGGAGAGUGGAAUUCCACGUGUAGCGGUGAAAUGCGUAGAGAUGUGGAGGAACACAAGUGGCGAAGGCGACUCUCUGGUCUGUAACUGACGCUGAGGCACGAAAGCGUGGGGAGCAAACAGGAUUAGAGACCCCAGUAGUCCCUGUCUCUUAUAC